CUGCAACUCGCCUGCAUGAAGUCGGAAUUGCUAGUAAUCGUAGGUCAGCAUACUACGGUGAAUACGUUCCCGGGCCUUGUACACACCGCCCGUCAAACCAUGAGAGUUGGCAACACCCGAAGUCGGUAGUCUAACCGCAAGGAGGACGCCGCCGAAAGUGGGGUUGAUGAUUAGGGUUAAGUCGUAACAAGGUAAC
This 196-nucleotide ribosomal RNA is filed under the name uncultured bacterium. RNAcentral describes it as "partial 16S ribosomal RNA". It matches the Rfam family "Bacterial small subunit ribosomal RNA", at positions 1305 to 1500 of the family's 1533-position model. The record is from RNAcentral.